Molecule: non-coding RNA, 232 nt
Organism: Python bivittatus (Burmese python)
Lineage: Eukaryota; Metazoa; Chordata; Lepidosauria; Squamata; Pythonidae
Source: RefSeq, a predicted model, not a curated record
UCUGCUAUUUCCUCCUUUCAGAUGAAUUCAUCUAGAUUUCUCCUCCCUCCAACUUCAUCCCAAGCAAAUAAACCACCAGUCUGUGUUAAAAUCCCAGUCGAACAAUUCAACCACACCCCAACAGCAUAUCAAAAUGCCAGAAUGCCCAUUGUAAAACCAAACAUUCCUCCCCCUCCUGUGCCACCAGCCAAAUCAGCCAUACCUCCAGCCAUGGUAUGUCAGCUUCCUAAUC